CUUCCGCCGCCCCCGCCGCGGGGCUGUGGUGCCGAGGGGUGCGACGGGCGUGGGCUGAGGGGCUGAGGCGCCCUCCGCGCUCCUCAGGGCUGGGGCGCGGGGGACGCGUUCCGGGGACCCUGGCAGGGACGGGAGCGGGUCCCGCGGCCGGGCUGUGCCCGGCAGGGGCAGUGCCCAGUGUGGCGCCCAGGGUCGCUGGAGCGGUGGGCUGUGCUUGGAGUCACUCGGGUUGUGUUUCUCUGCAUGUCAAGCGACACACCCACAAUAAAGUGCCUGCUAAGCCCAGCGCGCGGUGGACUUAAAAAGAAGCUGUAAGUGAGUUUGGUGUUUUGGGAGAAGGCUGCUUGUGUGAGGACAUUCUGUGUGCUUGUGCGUUGUGCGUGAGUUUUUUUUCCUCCGCCUUUUUGACAGUCCUUCGUGGCCUCUGGGGAGCAGCUGGGAUUUCCCUGAGUGGGGACUCGGGUUUUGGUGACUCCGCUUGUUGGAGCGGGCGGGUGUUGAGUGUUUGCGGUUUCGUGAGACUCUGAAAUCUCAUUUAUUUCUUAAGCAUACUUCAAAGAUCUAACGUUGUUUGUCAGCGAAAUUGACACAGGUGUAUUUUCCAGUUAUUGGUGUUGUCUACAAAAAACUGACUUGAGAAACCUUUUAAGUGUGAGUCACCAGAUCUUCUCUGUAUUCUUAGCAGUGUCUGCCUCCUCUUCCAUGAUAGAGAUAAUGCUAAAUUUCAAACCCGGUAUAGGCUGACAAAGCUAAUUGUAACUCCUUUCCUGGGGAAUAUCACUAUGCCCUAAUUUCCUCCCUAAUAUGUUUUACUGUAAUUCAUCCCCUUGUGAAUUUGUGCCACUGUGAACGGUAGUAGAGAAAUGGCCUCAGAGGGAGCUUUUUCAGACAGCGUAUUUUGAAUGCUGUAAGCUAUGCAGUUAUCUAAAGUCUUCUUAUAAAACCUCUGCAACGUUUUUCAGAAAACCCAAAAGAGAUUGAUGGUGAAGCAUUCAACUGUAGGUAUUUUCUGUUAGGUAUAACCGACACCCUGCAUACAGUGCUCAUGAUGGUUAUCAUGUCUGCCUCUGCUAGCAGUUUGUGUGGCUACUUGCACUCUUUGUAGAGAAGAGCCAGGGGCAACAAUGGCCAUAGAUUUCCCUUUAUUUGAGAAAAGUGCUUCCCAGAUGGAAGCAGGGGGAAGGAAAUAGAACUCUGGCGUUAAAGUACACUAACCCAUGUGUUGGAACCAGGAGUGCUUAAUUUGGGGAGCAGCCUAUAAAGUGGUGGGGGUGGAGUUGUGUUAAGGCUAAAGCUGAGGCAUAGAGGACUGCUUGUGUGGUUUGAGGAUUUAGAUCUUGCUCCCACUGUACACUAACAUUAAACUUCCACAUUUCUCCUUCAGCUGACUGUUAAAUGUGUGGUACAGUGCUGUUACAGUGGGAAUUUUUGUGGUGGUCACUUAAUGCUUAUGAAGUGAUACCUACGUGUUAUUUACAAGUUCAUGACAAAAUAUCUGUACGUAUACAUAAAUAUACAGGAUUUAACUCUCCUCUCUGGGGAAUUGGUCAGCAAUAUUUAUACGACUGUAAGAUCUGUUAACUGUGUAUAUACUUGUACAUCUCUGUAGAAGCAUAUUUCUUUUAAGACAAAAAAUAAUAAUCUUUAUUUGUGGUUGCACACAAGCACUUAGGUUAAUGAAACCUGGCUGGUUAAACCAUGAAGUUGAUUUUCCAAGUGGUGUAUGUGCCAGUGGUUUGCCUGGGUUACAACAGUGAUUAGACAAAAUCACGGGGCAAAAUUGUGCCAUGGGGAUUAUUUUAAGCAUAAAUGUAAAACUUCAUGUAUUUCUGGGCUGCUUUUAAAAGGAAGCUGGAUAAAUAUCACUGUGUAUUUACCCUACUGCUGGAUUUUCCCCUGAGCUUUGUUAUUAACUAUUGUUGGAUACAGGAUGUUGGGCUGGCUGGGGCAUUGGUCUGUCCCUAUAGAGCUGUCCUUGUGUUCUUUUGUUGGGUUCCAGCAUGCUCUGAGUACGUGUCAUCAGUAUCUCUAGAACAAAUUCAGUUUAUCUCAAAGAACUAAAUGUGCUGCUUUUGCAAAACUGCUGUGGCUUCUUUACAUCUUUGAGCUGAGAGGAAAUGGUUGAGUGAUGAUGAAAUCUAGUUUUCUGGGUUGUUUUUUUUUCAUGUGCUGCUAAGAUGCUUCAGACAUUGUAACUGAAACAUCUUAUAAUUGUUCUCGGAUCCAAAGCUCAAAAAUAUUUGGUAAACAUGAGGCAACUUCAUUUGGAACUUGGUCUGAAGUGUCAUCACUUGAAAAUUGAAUGGAAAAAUAAAUCUGCUUUAGAUUAAAGUAUUAAUAUAUAGAGCCAUAUGAGCAGCUUAACUUCUCAAUGUUGUUUGUAUCAGCAGGAUGCUUUAUUCAGCUUCAAAAGCCAAGGAGAUGUGGAUUUACUUUGCCUUUGUCCUUUAUGCCUUUGUGAAGCAGAAUAAAUCUGUGCUUUAAGAGUUGUACUGUUCUUUUGAAGUCACUCUCUAGCCUGUUACAGUCUCCUCAUAAAAGCUGUAAACAGUUGAAAUACCACAGCCAAGAAGGUCCGUCUUGAGGAGUUUAUUUGCAUGGUGUGGUGAAGAAUAUACAGCUGGUAGGAGUCAUGUGCUAAUAGAAUGCAGCCUGUCUUUAAAUAAAUACUGAAGGGAAAAAUCGUGACCACCAUUCCCCCUCCUUCACCCCAAGCUACAGAAGUUUUCUUCUAUUCAGUUGGGUCACCUUGUAAUGGAAGAAGGUGGAGCUGACCAUGAUAUUGCUAUGGAAGGAUCUAAUGAUUUGUUCAUAGGCAGCUGUAAUGGUACAGGAGAGUCAGAACCAAAUUAUCAGGUUUUUCAGAAGUUGCUACUCAAAGUACAUUUUACUGUUUUUCCUCUGUGAAAGCAACUAAUGUGCAUGGAUUCCAGGGAUCCAUUGUUUGGCCAGAGCGACUCUCCCCCAGCCCUGGCCAUCACAGUCCCCCUCUCGGGCAGUCCUCCAGCAUCGGCUGUACCGGCGCGGCCGCCCCAGUCACUCUCCCACUCUGCAGAGGAGUUGCACCUGGCAGAGCAGCCCAGGCAGCCCCUGUGUGAGCUGCAGCCCCUGGGAGGGCCCAGUGCACCCAUGAUGAUUGUUGCCAGCCAGUCAGAAAAUGGACAGGUUCUGCAUGUCAUUCCUUCUACCCAGCCAGGAGUGACCCAAGUGAUUAUUCCUCCAGGUCAGCUUCUGGAUGUGACCAGCACUCAGGAUAUUUCGGAAGAAAAGCGUAGUGAUGGGAACCUGCAGACUGUGGUGGUGGCUUCUCUAGCAGACAGUGCAAGCAGUUACAUUCUACAUCCACAGGCAUCUCUCACCAUAUCGAAAAAAGCAACCACCAGGGUAGUGGAAGACUCUUUUCCCAUCCCUCUUCAGCCAUUGCCACUAAAUACGCCUGCAUGGGCACGCCGUCUCAGGAACUGUGAGAGAAUUGGGGACUCGUACCGCGGCUAUUGUGUGAGCGAGACAGAGUUAGAGAGCAUUCUCACGCUACACAAGCAGCAAACACAGAGUGUGUGGGGGACGCGCCAGUCUCCAAGCCCAGCCAAACCCGCCACACGGUUGAUGUGGAAAUCUCAGUAUGUCCCAUAUGAUGGGAUCCCCUUUGUCAAUGCAGGAAGCAGAGCCAUUGUAAUGGAGUGCCAGUAUGGGCCGAGGAGGAAAGGAUUUCAGCCCAAAAAAUCUGGUGAGCAGGAAAGCACCUCUGGCCACCUGUACAAAGCUACUUGUCCAGCAAGGAUCUAUAUUAAAAAGGUUCAAAAGUUUCCAGAAUACAGGGUUCCUACUGACCCUAAAAUUGACAAGAAAAUCAUAAGAAUGGAGCAGGAGAAAGCAUUCAACAUGCUGAAGAAGAACCUGAUAGAUGCUGGUGGUGUCCUCAGGUGGUAUGUACAGUUACCUACUCAGCAAGCCCACCAAUAUCAUGAAAUGGAAACUUCCUGCCUCCCUCCUUCACCAUCCCAUCUUUCUAUGUCUUCUCCUGAGGAGGAGGAGGAAGUCAUUAGAGAUGAGAACAGUACUCUGCCUUCUCGACUUCAUCCUCAAGUGGCAGACAAGAUCCGAGAACUGGUGUCUCAGGGAAUAGAGCAGGUCUAUGCAGUGAGGAAGCAACUAAGGAAGUAUGUGGAAAGAGAAUUGUUCACGCCUGAUGAAGUGCCAGAAAGACAUAACCUGUCCUUCUUCCCCACUGUGAAUGACAUCAAGAACCACAUUCAUGAAGUGCAGAAGUCCCUAAGAAAUGGAGAGAUGGUGUAUAAUUCAGAAAGUAUCCCAGCAACGUUGCAAUGGACCACAGACAGUGGGAAUGUCCUCACAGAAACUGUGACUGUUGCGUUUGCCUCACCACCUUCAGAUGGGAUCUCAGGAGUGGAGUCAGUCAUCACCAAAGCAGAAUCCAACCAGAGUGGGGAGUCCUUGAUACCUGAAACAUCUCAGCUGUUGUCUUCACUCUCUUCACUUCAGCCCAAGAUAUUUGCACAACUUCAGGGAUUACAGCUGCAGUCAACAUUUACCUCGACAAAUGGAUCAACAGCCCUGCUAGCUGUAAAUAACCAUUCCCCUCCCAGCCCUUCGAGUCUUCUGGAUUCCCUGGGGAGUGCAAUAAGCAGCCAUUCUCUAGCACUCAGUCAGAGCCACAGUCUGCAAGCAAGUGCUGGCCUAACACAGGACAGUGCUGCUGCGCCUGCUUUUGGGGCUCUGCCUGGCCCUGAUCAGAGUCUGGUUGCCAUGGGCCAGCUGGUACCAGCUGAAGGGGUGGAUGACUCCAGAAGCCUGGGAGGAGGAGAACAUCAGAUUCUCUUGGGAGAUGUGCAGACUAUUCCAGUACAGAUUGUGGACAGCCAGCCAGUACUUACUGAAGAAAAUACAGAGGGUGUUGUUACCUGUGUGAGCCAAGUUAAACAAGAGCCAAGAGAAAAAGCAUUGUCUAUGGAGACAGAUAAAAUCAGAGACUGCCACAGUUCCUCACCAUAGUUCUUCACCUUCACCUGAAGCCUGGAAGGAUUUUUCAAAUUGGAGAACUCUAAAUGUCUUGGAAGGAAAGGCAGGUGCUCUCAAAGUACUGCCAUUCUUUUUUAAUUGUAUUCUGACAUUUGGACUAAGCGUAUUUUAGAGUAGUUAUGACAGAAAGCUGUUUUGGUUUGACUGAUGUGGCUCACUGCCAACUCCAGGUCAUUCAGUUGCCCCAUGGAACACCACCUCUCUCUUCCGUUUCAAGUUUUGAGUAAUUUGGAUUCUAUCCAAAUGACCUAUUUUGUUCGUUGUUUCUGAAGGUCUUCCACAAUUUAAUUCCUUAGCUUUAGAAUGUGGAUCACAAUGCUGGGUUUGCAUUUUCUUCUUGAGACCCUUGACUCUUAUUGCACUACAGAGACCAUAGAAUCUGUCAGCUCCAAGAUCACAGAAUCCAACAGCAAAGCAAUCAGUAUGACAAUGGUUUUGUGACAAAAGGAAGGUCCAGGUUGCUAAACUUCAAAGUGAUAAAGGACAUGGAUGCUUAAGAAAAUGCAGCUUUGACCUGAUCAUAAUGUUAAUGGUGUGAAGAUCAAGGAGAGGAGAAAGGUGAGGUUGCCAGGUGAACAUAAAGUUGUAUGAUAAAGCAAAGUGUAUGAAUUGUAAUGGUGAAUUUUUUUGACUUUGACAUCUUUGAACUUAAGUUCUGGCUUUAUAAUGAGGUUCAUUGAUGCAUGCAGCCUUCCUUUGCAGUGCUACUGUAUUUGCAGUUGGUCAUAACACUAAAUGCAGGAGUCUUUCUCAUGGAAAAUGAUUGAUGCUGCCAUUUCAGCUUAUCUACCUCUUGCUUUGUGCACUUAAAGCUAUCAGCUCAGACAAAUGUGAUUUAACCUGCUGCUGUUUGUGAUGUAGGGCUUGUGGAUACAUUCCUAACAAAGAGAAGCCCAAGAAAACAAAGAAAGUAAUCAAAGCAAUGUCCAAGUGUUCUUCACCUUAACAUUCAGAAAACAAACUCACCUUUCUCAAAAGUGACGUAUUCUAAGACUUAAGUGGUCCAUACAAUUAAGAUAAUUACCACGAAUCUUUAGAAAAUUGAAUGUGUUAAAAAUUAUUGUUUAGUAAUAUUUGAGUUAAAGCCAUAGUAAGUGACAAGCACUGAGCUGUGUAAUCUGUGACAGCUGUUUCCUUAAGAAAAAAAAUCACAGCUACAAAUAACAUGGAAUCAUUUUAAAGCUGUAAAUGAAAUGAAACUGAUGCCAACAUAGAUAUCAAGUUAAGAAAUUGCAUUUUUUGCAAUUCAGAUGUUGAAUUCUUAAAGCAAAAUUCAGAGUAGUUUGUAUACAGCAAUAGGAGCCUUUCUAUUAUUAGUUCCUACUAAGUAGUUGAGAACUUGAUCAUAAAAUAGGGGUUUUUUUCUGCAUGCUGUGGAAGAAUUCAGUGUGAGGACUUUUCUUUUUUUUGGACUUGAAAACAAAUGAACAAAGAACCACAGAAAAACUAUUUCAUUUAUGUAGAGAAGAAAGUGUUGUGAAUAUUAUAUGAACCAAAACGUUGACAUUUAAAAAUUGUUACUUUACCUUACAUGCAAGCAUUCACAAACAUCUUCUAAACAAUGGCCAUUUAAUUUAUUUUUUUUUCAUUUUCUUUUGAGUAUUUAAAGCUAAAACUUUUGAAAGCCUUACAUUGAACUUGUGUUCCAAAUGCCUUUAUGUGCAAAAUCUGUUAGGUGCUAUAUCAUAGUCUUAAUAUAUAUUAACUUCUCUGAGGUUAACUAGCAUUGUAAACAUUAUUUGUUUAAAGCUAAUUUUUAUGGGUUAAGUCCCAUUAGGAUUUUCCAACAGGAUCAUGCUCUUAUUAAAUAAGAGCCAGUAGUUUAUGAUGCAAAUGCAUUUAAAAAUCUCCAGUUUUUUGGAGCCUUUCAUAUAUUUAGUGUCUACACUGGCUUGUUUUAUGGUGUGCUGUACUUAUUUCUGGCUAGGAAAAAUCCCCCAAGAUUCACCUGUGGGGUAUUUUAUUUAGUUGGGUAUUUUUAUUUUUGUUUUGUUUGUUGUUGGUUUUUUGGUAGGUUGUUUUGCUAACUGUCAAAGUAUCUCCCAAAUGGAUGUUCCCUGCUGCAGUCUUAGUUCUGGAGCACUCAGCCAGCAGCCACCUUCUCUUUUCCAACUCAAAAACUGCAUACCAGAAUUGGUACCUCCUUCCAUGCUGCUGUAUUCAAUAAUCCAUCACCAUCAGUUUUUCUUAAACUAAUGCAUUCCAAACCAUAUUCUCUUUUCCUUUCUCUUUUUUUGAGAAUUUUUCCUCAUUUUUGAGAAUGCUUCUUUUCAAAAGAAUAAAUUACAGCUAAAGAUCACCAGCAAGAGGUUAUUUCCAUUUUAGUUCUCUUCAAAGCAGACAAUACAUUUGUGAUUGAAAUAAAAGCUUAAAGUAAGAUGAGUUCCAUUUCCAUCAGCUCUUGCUUAGUUCCCUCAUUAACAGUUCUGGUUUUAACAUGGUUCUUUCCACCAUGAGCUAUAGUCUCAUCCUGUGCUGCACGGUAUUUUCUGACAGUGUUUCUGGUUUUGACCUAGUGCUUACGACUGGAGGAAACACUCUUUUAGUCCAUCUUGAAUUGCAGGCUCUGAAAUGAAUUUUAUAUUCUAUCCUGAUUUGCAUGGUAAUCUGGAAACAACAGAAGUAAAAGUUGGAAAAAUUUUAAAGAAGCAAUAAAGAAUUAGCUGUUGUCAAAAGCUGAGGAUUAGACUUGCAAUUCUGUUUAUUGGAAAAUUUAUUUUAAAUUAUUCUUCACUCAAUAUUCACAGUUUUCUUCAUUUUUGCUGAAUUUAAUUUCUUUGUCUUCCAAAUAUAUAAUUCAUCUUAUUACUGUGUUAUUUUUUUUAAGGUAAUGUAAUUAUUCUUUUUCAAAGUAUGUGUUUUACAUUUGUUUUGUGCAUAUUGCUAAAGGAGGAACAUGAAUUUGUCUCCAUGUCCAGUCUCUAUAUUUGAUUUAAUGCCUUUCUUCACUAAUAGCCGCCUACAUUUUAUAGAGAAGACUGUUAAGUAUCUGAAAAAAAUCCAAGUAAAUGCUGCCAUGUUCAAUGGUUAAAAUUGUUUAAAUAGAAUACUCAAGGCUGAUUUUUCAGAGUAAUCUGUGUAGCUUGAUGCAAAGUAGUUGGUUAUUAUUUUGUGUUGGAACUGUAGAUGUUUUUCUGAUGCUUACUUUGUUUUCUUGUGGUUGUUGUGUGCAAGCACUUACUUUGCAAACCUAGAAUUCUUGGCCUUCAACACUAGUGUAAAUGAACAGCUGAUUCUCCAGUUAUCCUUGUUGGUUGUCUGUAAGAGUGACUGGUUGCUUUACAAGAAGAGAUGUGCUUCUGUAUGUGCAUGCAAAAAUAACCUUUUGGUAAAAUGUAGAGAAAGUGUAAAAUGGUAUACAUCCAUAGCUCUUCAAGGCUGGAGGCCUAUUGGAUGGAAACCAGUACUAGAAAUGAUUGCUGUUUGUUGGUACAAAAUUAUUGCAGUUUCUACAAAAUUUAGAGGCACAAAUGUCUGUAUAUAUAUGUAUGUAUAUAUAUAUAUAUUUUCUAUAGUAACUUACUGUAUAAUAUUUAUAUUCAAAUGUAAACUACUUGUUCUUUUAAAGUAAUGGUCUAUUUUGUGGCUAUGGGGGCUCAUGGGGAGAAAUGCAAGAGCACUUUCAGGGCAGUGGAUUUUAGAGAUGAUGGGCCACAAGUAGGAGAGCUCCAGAGAGACCAGGUGGAAGAAGUUCCUGAAAAGCAAGGAUCCUGCUUGGAGGACUGAUGGGAGUUGUGCUUGGAGGGUUCUGGGGAUGAGAACCCAAAGGCUCAGUGCAGUUCCUGAUUCUGUCUGUAGUCCUCUCUAUGCCAGUAGUGGAUAGUGUGAGUUCAUGGUAGGAAAUUAAAGGUAUGGAAAAAAAGGGAAUCCUGCCCUGCCCUUAAAAGCAGAGAAGCUGCUGGAGUUUUGAUGAGCAUGAGAGGCAGAUAAAUGACUCCCCAUAGUCUGAGAUGCCCAUUCUUAGCUUCUAAUAUGAAGAAGAAGCUCCUCUUGGAGCUUCAGCCCAGGCCUGUAGACUCUUUUUCUUUACCUGUUACCAAGGAAAACAAACCUUUUCUUCCCAACUGAAUUAACCUGCUGCUUUCCUCAUCCCACUGACUGCAGUUCAUCUGCCCAAAUGUCUCUCCAUACUUUUUAAGGCUCCCACAGAAAUCCCAUGCCCUCAGGCCCUCCAAUUCUCACUGUUUCACUGUUGGACUGUUGAAGGAGCUGCUGAGUUCACUGCACAGGUAAACACUGGUGAGCUUUGCCCCAUCAGUUUUUCUCCCUCCUUCCCCAUGAUCAUAAAUACAUAUGUUCCUUUAAAUUGCAUUAAGUUUUUUUUACUUGCUUGCUUAAGGGUUUAUCAUCAUUACUGGGAUGCAUAUAAGGGAGCACCAUUUCACAGACCAUUUACAUUCACAGCAACUGAAAAUAUUUGAUAAAACAGGGAGGAAUCAGCUGUUAGGGCUGGCCUCUUUCAUACCACUUGAAUUGAUGAUUCUGGCUGUGGAUAGUAGCUGCCCGUUAAGCUGGCUGUCUGUUGGCAAAAGUGCAAUUUUCUCCCUUAAGCCUAUUCAAGCACAUGCCUUCUCAGAUGUUUAGGUAGGAAGAAUCUGUUCCAUUAGGAAUAGCAAGUGUGAUAUAGCUGAGCAUGGUGCUGGGAAAAGUUACUGUUCUUUAUGGGUCUCUGAUGAGAAAAUAAUCUUUGAUUUGCAUUGCCUUUCUGAACAAAGCUUUUGUAGGAAUAGACUUCAGAGCCUAUCCUAUCAGUAACAAUUAUCUUCUCCCAGCAACAGUGCACUGCAUUAAUGAAUGAAACAAGCCUUGUGUAAAACAGAUGGUGUUAAUUUUUUUAGGUCAGAAGCUAUCCAGUUGGUCUACCUAACAACAGCAGCUAAGAAGUUCUACAAGCCUUCAAGGGACGUGGAGAGCAUGAAAGUGUCUAAGAUCUUAUGAGACGACCUGCAGGAAUGAAACAGAGGAGGUUAAAGUUUGAUGAUGUGACUUCUAUAUAAUGCACUUUCUUUGGUGGGAGGAAGAGGAUUUUCCAAUAGAGAAUAAAAGUAAAUCUUCUUUUUCAGAAUAUUAGUAUUAUUGCUGACUCUCUCUGGUCUGUUCGACAAGAUGCCUGGUGUUUGGACAGGUCUCAAUGUUUUAUGAAUGUGUCCCAAAAUGUUAAUGAAUACGCAUUCAUACAUUGCUAUCUUUGCAUGUCAUACUGAAACUGUAAGCCAGUGGCACCUCCUGAUCUUUUUAUUGUCUCUGUGCAUUUUCAUAAAGUAAAUGAAAGCUGCUUUUUAUAAAGAAAUAGCAGAGACCUUUUGUCCAGAGUCCUUUCAGAUAUAUACUUUUAUAUAGAGUAAGCUUUAACUUAAUAAUGUUGUUUAUUUCUAGCCCUUUAAUAACCUAAAAUAGCCAAAGCCUUUUCACCUUUUUUUCUUUUUAUCCAGAACAUGAAGCAUUUCAAACUACCCCUCAAAACUACCAUGCUCAGAGCCUGAAAGGUUUGGCACUUUUCUUCCUGGUGAUCUUCCAUCUGUACUGUGUUGUGUCUUGCGUAUAACACCAGAAUCCAUAGUUAAUACCUAUCCCAUCACAUUAAAGCACUUUUUCAUUUGCAGAAUCUACCUGGUCACUUGACAGCAUAUCAGUGUCAAUAUCUGCAAACCAGUUUAUUGAUUAACAUCUGUCACAUCAGUUCUAGAUGUGGCCAAUUUUCUUUGUGCAUGGAAUUUGCAUUGGUGUAGUGAAACUAGUGAUGUCAAAAAUGGUCAAGUCUCAUGAACUGAGUGCCUUCUGUUGCGAAUUUGAUCUUAGUCUGAGUUCUGUCUGAGCUAGGAACAAAUUCUGAGGCUGUGUUCUGCCUCUGUUGCCCCUGUGUUCUGCAGUGCUUGUUGAGCAGAAGAAAAACCUUCCAGUUCCUAAGAACAGGUACACUUGUGUUUUUGCCUGAUGCAAAGCUGCUCAUAUUAAUCUCUUGAGAGAUGGCUCAUGGAAUUCUGCUUUCCAGCUUAAGAGAAGAUAAAGUCUCUGUAUAUGAAAACUUGCUGGAGAAUGUACAGACAGUUGGGAGCAUCUAGAAGAGUCACCCUCAAGUGUACUUAAUUUAGGAAUAGGAGCUGGUAGAAGGAAUAAACAACUGAAGAGUAUAAUGGUAAAAGUAGGCAUUCUUACUCUUUACAUAGCAUUGCCCUUACACAAUACCUUUUCUUAAAUAUGUUCCUUGACAAACACUGGUCAGCAGUGAGAAGGAAACAAAUCUCAAUUUCUUCCCACUGCCAGCUUAAAGUUUAACAGAGCUUCUGCAAAUUAAUCACAAGUUGGGCCUAAAAGUCUAUCCUAGAUCUGAGUUCAGUUUUGCUUUGUCAGGUCACUGUUAAGUUACAUAAAUUUAACUUUUUCACAUAGCUGUUUCUUUUAAAGAUAAAAUUAAAUGUGAGAAAGCUUUGGAAAUUUUGUUUCUUAUAGAGGACACUUCAGUUCUCUGAAGUGUGCAGGUGUUUUCCACUUGUCUUCCACUUUUAUCUCUUAGUUCAAUAUGUAUUGGCUGUUUUCUCAGGAUCACUUACCUCUGAGAGCACUCCAGAUAACUGUCAAGAAGCCAGAGCAGAGAACAGAAGAGGAAAAGAAGUUUGCAAAAAGCUGCUUGCAGAAGAUAGAAAGCUCUCAAACUUACAGCUGAAGACUGCAAUUUCUUAUGGCUGAAAUGGCUCACUUUAGAUGGUAAAUAUUUUUUUAAUAUACUACUUUUUAAUUGUUCAUUUUGUUACUGCUUACGCCUUGAGCUCACAUCUAAUAAAAGCUAGAAUGGUAACUGUGUAUUUUGCUUUUAUCUUCAGUGUACUAGUUAUCUUCUGAAUGUAAACUGGUCUGAUAACUCCAUGUUUUUGGCUGUUGACAAAGCUGUUAUCGCAUCUGAGGUGUUCUGUACAUCGGAGAUGGAGGAAGUGGGAACCUUCUUGACCUUAUUUCUACUGAGAACAGAUGAUCUGUGGAAAGAGGGCUUUGCCAGUUUUAAAUCAAUAUCCUCACAAUAAUUUGGUGUGUGUACAUGUUUUUCAUGUCAGGUGCUAGUGCAUGUCUAACUUUGUACAUAAUAGAAGCCAUAAAAUUACCUCUCACUGGCCUAGCCAUAUUUUUUAUUGUCUCCUACCACUGUACUCAUUGUUUUUUUGGGAAUGGGACAAUUAUUUUAACAUGUUCUCGUUUUCUACUUUUCUGCCUUUCUCCUGUUGCCUCUUUCUCAUACCCAGAGCAGCACAGAUUUCUCACUUUAAAAAAACUUCUCCAUCCUCAGUUUCCCAUAUUUUGGGAAACUUUCUCUUUGCUUUAUUGUGCUGGACUUUGAUUUCUUACAUGACUGAAAUGUAAGAUAUCAUUGCAUUUUGCUUAAGGAGUGGGAAAUACUGGGGUGGGCUCCACUGCCCCCUUCACUCCAGAAGUCCUCAGAGGAAUUACCUACCACAGGUUCUGCUCCUGCACCUGCAUCUCCACACAGGCCAGCACAAGCACAGAACUGUGCUGAUGCCCUUUGUGUACCAGCAUGUUAUCAGUACAAAGUUACUGCUGUGAAUCCAGAUCAGUCUGUGGGUCUGCCCCACUGUGUCCCCACAAAUGACUCUUUGGGUACAACUUGAAAGAGAGCACAGGAAACAGCCAGAAAGUUCUUAAUGUUCAACUUUUAGUUUGUGAUUCUGUAUUGAGUUCAGGUGCUCUGGUGUGGGUGGCCCUGUGCAGGACACAGCUGGUUCCAGGCAGCUCAGCAACUGCCCCGCCAUGGGACACAGCUGAGCACAUCUGUGAAGCUGGGGCACCUCUGUGGCAGUGUCUGUAAGAAAAGGCAAAAUGCUGCAUGGCAGAGAGGAGUGAGGAAGAAGGUGAAAGAGUUCUCUGAGCACCCAUGUCAGAAAAGAAGAAGAGGGAGGGAAUUGCUUUCUGGUGCUGGAAAUUCAGACCACAGAGGAUCACAUGCCAGAGCAGGUGCAGAUUUUUCUGAAGGAACUGCAGUCUGUGGAGAGGAGCCAUGCCAGAACAGGCUUCUGCUGAAGGACUGCAGCCUGUGGAGAGAGCCCAUGAUGGAGUGACAGAAAGAAGCUAUUACAGACUGACUGCAACACCCAUGUUCCACUUUGCCCUCUGCUGCCUUGGACAAGGGGAGACAGAGGAGUUGGGGGUUCAAAGUGUAAAAGAGGACAACAGAAUGGAAUGUGCUGUUUUAAUUUGCUUUUGUUUCUUAGUGAUUUAAUCUAUUUUAAUUGGCAAAAAAUUAAAUUAGCUUUCCUCAUAUUGAUUCAAAUAUUGAAAUUUACAUCUGGACGCCAGUCAUGGUGGAAAAUCCUGAUUGUUUGAUCACUGCAAGUCAUUAUUGCCUUUAAUUUUUAAGUAAUCAAAUUUUAAUUUUUAAGGAUUCAUUCUGUGUGAAGAAAGUAGUGUACCUUGUCUGAAUCAGGAAUUACAUUUCUGGAUGUAUUCUGGUUAGGUCUUUCAAGUUCAGUGUACUCACCUCUUCACUAGAGUAGAUCUCGGUGGCGAAUUAACUCAGGAACAUGUCUAAUCUGUUACAUUUCAGCUGGAAAAGAAUACCAGCCAUAUUUUUACAGGUUUGAGCAUGGGAGAGUCAUUCAGAGGAGACGAUGCUGCAGCAUUAUUUACUUUGGUAAAGCUGUUCUUACAGGUGUUAAGGAUGUGGCAUCUUCCCAGUGUUGUCUAGCAGUGCUUCAGAAUGGGGCAAAGUUUGUGGUGAGUGGCAUCUUCAGUGAAAGUGCUGUUAACUUUGGGCAAAGAAAUAAGCAGAGUUUGGGAAUGGGAUUUAUACUCUUGUGCUUUUCAGAGAUUAUUUAGGAAAAUAAUAAAAAUAAUAAGAAUAAUAAGUAAUAGUAAAGUAAUAAGUAAAAUAAUAAGUAAUAAGAAUAAGAAGGGAACUUCCUUUAGAGGAUAAGUUUUAUAUGUAUGUUCUUUCACCACCUUUGGAAAAUACCUGGUACUGGACACCAAGGGUAUCUAGGCAGGGUACUAGGUGACAUAACACACUUACUGGUUUCUAAUGGGAGCACUGGAAUACAAACUUGAUGGAUAGCUUCCUAGCAUUAGCUAAAUUAAUCUUCAUUUUUUUGUCCUCUCUCUUCACAUUUCACUAUAAAGGGAAGAGUCUCUGUUAAAGGGAACAUGGUGAAUUGUUAUCUGUCCAUAAAACUGUUUGUGAACAGUUGGAUGAAAAGGACUUCUUUGAUAAUGAAUUAGAUGAGCUUUGGAAAGAAUUGCACUGUCACUGUAACUUCAAGUAUUUCCUUCCAAAGAUAUUGCUCACUAUUGAUUAUUGUCUUCCUGUUUAUUUGCUGUAUAAUUUAUUUGUUAAGCUUUUCUGGCCAUGUCAGGGCCAUAGAAGUAAUACAUAGGGCAGUUCUCUUUUCCUUUGAAGUUUUAUAAAAGGGGAAAGAAUUCUUCAUUUUGCAUUUAGGCACCAGCUGCUCUGGAAAAGUCCAUGAUUAUCUGUGUUCCAUAGCUACCAAAAAAUACCAAAAAGUAUUCCAUAAACUUGUGAUUUUUCCUUGGAUCAGGCAAAUUGAGUUUGACAUCUUUUUUUAAAAAAAAAAAGGCAGACUAUGCUAGAACCAAAUUUAGCAUCUUCAGGAGCUGUGACCUAGGGUUCAUCAGCUGCAAUUGUAAAAAGAUUGAUGUUUUCAUAGUGAAAUGUUUUCAUUAAUCUAAUUUAAUCUAUGAACAGAAGUAUCUUCAUUCCUCUUAUUUCAGACUUGUGAACUCCUUUGCAAAAUGAGAGAUCGCUAGUGAGAUUAGCUAAUAACUGCAAAAAUGGAAAAGUUUCACUGAGAACAGGUGUGGUAACAAAAUGUACCAUAAAGUCAGACAGCAUAAUUAACAUUAGUAAGGUAAGAUCUUUCAGAGGUUAACUACAGGCUAAUACUUUUGGUGGGACACUGAUGUUUAUUCUGAUCUUGCAAACAAAAAUAAUGUUUAUGAGCCAUUGCAGAAAGAACUGGGAAAUAAAGCACUUUGUAAAAUGCCA
RNA transcript from Parus major (Great Tit), 15046 nucleotides. It is a transcript of the gene named calcium responsive transcription factor, with no coding region annotated. The transcript is spliced from 16 exons. NCBI's taxonomy places the organism in Eukaryota, Metazoa, Chordata, Aves, Passeriformes, Paridae. The record is from RefSeq and is a predicted model, not a curated record.